GCGUGAUUGGUGAAGGGGUUAACACGGUAGAUUGUGGCUCUAUUACGCGCAGGUUCGAAUCCUGUAUCACGCCCCA
RNAcentral lists this transfer RNA (76 nucleotides) under Bacilli bacterium. Its description in RNAcentral is "tRNA-His". It matches the Rfam family "tRNA". From Rfam's summary of the family: Transfer RNA (tRNA) molecules are approximately 80 nucleotides in length. Their secondary structure includes four short double-helical elements and three loops (D, anti-codon, and T loops). The record is from RNAcentral. Lineage: Bacteria; Bacillati; Bacillota; Bacilli.